AUUGAACGCUGGCGGCAUGCUUUACACAUGCAAGUCGAACGGCAGCACAGGGAGCUUGCUCCCGGGUGGCGAGUGGCGCACGGGUGAGUAAUACAUCGGAACGUGUCCUGUUGUGGGGGAUAACUGCUCGAAAGGGUGGCUAAUACCGCAUGAGACCUGAGGGUGAAAGCGGGGGAUCGCAAGACCUCGCGCAAUUGGAGCGGCCGAUGCCCGAUUAGCUAGUUGGUGAGGUAAAGGUUCACCAAGGCGACGAUCGGUAGCUGGUCUGAGAGGACGACCAGCCACACUGGGACUGAGACACGGCCCAGACUCCUACGGGAGGCAGCAGUGGGGAAUUUUGGACAAUGGGGGCAACCCUGAUCCAGCCAUGCCGCGUGCAGGAUGAAGGCCUUCGGUAUGUAAAGCUCUAUCAGCAGGGAAGAAAAUGACGGUACCUGACUAAGAAGCACCGGCUAAAUACGUG
This 463-nucleotide ribosomal RNA is filed under the name uncultured bacterium. RNAcentral's name for it is "bacterial SSU rRNA". It matches the Rfam family "Bacterial small subunit ribosomal RNA", at positions 29 to 507 of the family's 1533-position model. The record is from RNAcentral.